This 464-nucleotide ribosomal RNA is filed under the name Vreelandella stevensii. Its description in RNAcentral is "partial 16S ribosomal RNA". It matches the Rfam family "Bacterial small subunit ribosomal RNA", at positions 338 to 795 of the family's 1533-position model. Lineage: Bacteria; Pseudomonadati; Pseudomonadota; Gammaproteobacteria; Oceanospirillales; Halomonadaceae. The record is from RNAcentral.
CCUACGGGCGGCUGCAGUGGGGAAUAUUGGACAAUGGGCGAAAGCCUGAUCCAGCCAUGCCGCGUGUGUGAAGAAGGCCUUCGGGUUGUAAAGCACUUUCAGUGGGAAAGAAAGCCUUGGGGCUAAUACCCUCGAGGAAGGACAUCACCCACAGAAGAAGCACCGGCUAACUCCGUGCCAGCAGCCGCGGUAAUACGGAGGGUGCGAGCGUUAAUCGGAAUUACUGGGCGUAAAGCGCGCGUAGGCGGUCUGAUAAGCCGGUUGUGAAAGCCCCGGGCUCAACCUGGGAACGGCAUCCGGAACUGUCAGGCUAGAGUGCAGGAGAGGAAGGUAGAAUUCCCGGUGUAGCGGUGAAAUGCGUAGAGAUCGGGAGGAAUACCAGUGGCGAAGGCGGCCUUCUGGACUGACACUGACGCUGAGGUGCGAAAGCGUGGGUAGCAAACAGGAUUAGAUACCUAGUAGUC